CCUACGGGGGGCAGCAGUGGGGGAUAUUGGACAAUGGGGGGAACACUGAUCCAGCGACGCCGCGUGAGUGAAGAAGUAUUUCGGUAUGUAAAGCUCUGUCAGCAGGGAAGAAAGAAAUGACGGUACCUGACCAAGAAGCCCCGGCUAACUACGUGCCAGCAGCCGCGGUAAUACGUAGGGGGCAAGCGUUAUCCGGAAUUACUGGGUGUAAAGGGGGCGUAGACGGUUAAGUAAGUCUGGAGUGAAAGGCCGGGGCCCAACCCCGGGACUGCUCUGGAAACUAUUGAACUUGAGUGCAGGAGAGGUAAGCGGAAUUCCUAGUGUAGCGGUGAAAUGCGUAGAUAUUAGGAGGAACACCAGUGGCGAAGGCGGCUUACUGGACUGUAACUGACGUUGAGGCUCGAAAGCGUGGGGAGCAAACAGGAUUAGAUACCCUAGUAGUC
This 443-nucleotide ribosomal RNA is filed under the name uncultured bacterium. RNAcentral describes it as "partial 16S ribosomal RNA". It matches the Rfam family "Bacterial small subunit ribosomal RNA", at positions 338 to 795 of the family's 1533-position model. The record is from RNAcentral.